This 563-nucleotide ribosomal RNA is filed under the name uncultured Sebacinales. RNAcentral's name for it is "eukaryotic LSU rRNA". It matches the Rfam family "Eukaryotic large subunit ribosomal RNA", at positions 81 to 612 of the family's 3401-position model. The record is from RNAcentral. Lineage: Eukaryota; Fungi; Basidiomycota; Agaricomycetes; Sebacinales.
UAGUAACGGCGAGUGAAGAGGGAAAAGCUCAAAUUUUGAAUCUGGUGUCUUUGACUCCCGAGUUGUAAUCUAGAGAAGUGUUUUCCGCGUUGGACCGUGUACAAGUUCCCUGGAACGGGGCGUCAUAGAGGGUGAGAAUCCCGUAUAUGCCACGGACUACCAAUGCUCUGUGAUACACUCUCAACGAGUCGAGUUGUUUGGGAAUGCGGCUCAAAAUGGGUGGUAAAUUCCAUCUAAAGCUAAAUAUUGGCGAGAGACCGAUAGCGAACAAGUACCGUGAGGGAAAGAUGAAAAGCACUUUGGAAAGAGAGUGAAACAGUACGUGAAAUUGUUGAAAGGGAAGCGUUUGAAGUCAGUCACGUCUGUCGGAAUUCAGCCUGGCUUCUGCCUGGUGUACUUUCCGUCUGACGGGUCAGCAUCAAUUUCGACCGAGGGAAAAAGACGUGAGGAAUGUGGCUGUCUUCGGGCAGUGUUAUAGACUCGCGUUGUAUGUCUCGGUUGGGAUUGAGGAACGCAGCGCGCCUAUUGGCCGGGGGUUCGCGCCCCUCGGUACGCGCUUAGGA